RNAcentral lists this ribosomal RNA (253 nucleotides) under uncultured bacterium. RNAcentral describes it as "partial 16S ribosomal RNA". It matches the Rfam family "Bacterial small subunit ribosomal RNA", at positions 524 to 776 of the family's 1533-position model. The record is from RNAcentral.
UAGGAAGGGGGCUAGCGUUGUUCGGAUUUACUGGGCGUAAAGCGCAUGUAGGCGGACCAGUAAGUUGGGGGUGAAAUCCCGAGGCUCAACCUCGGAAUUGCCUCCAAAACUGGCGGUCUGGAGGACAGGAGAGGCGAGUGGAAUUCCGAGUGUAGAGGUGAAAUUCGUAGAUAUUCGGGGGAACACCAGUGGCGAAGGCGACUCGCUGGAUUGAUACUGACGCUGAGGUGCGACAGCGUGGGGAGCAAACAGG